UGAAGAUCUCGCCAAUAAAGGGUUUUGAUGAGAGGUUCUCAGGUUUCUCUUUAGGGGAUGGCCCAAAACACAAGAGUUCUCAGGUUUCUCUUGGAAACUAUGGUUAUGAAUUGUGUUUAUGUGUAGGGUGUUGUGUGAAUGAUGAUCAUCAUCAUUAUCAUUAUCAUUAUCUAGUGUAUAUGGUGAUGGUGAUGAUGAUGGUUGUGUGUGAAUGGAGCGAUGAAGAUUGCAUGAAGGUUGAUGAAGACAAGCUUGAUGUGUCUUUUGUUAUCCCUCGUUAGGGCAACUUCGAUCCUUUGGCAAGCUUCGGUUCCCCUCGGAAUCAGCAGAUUAUCACUAUCUUUCU
This 346-nucleotide long non-coding RNA is filed under the name Eutrema salsugineum. Its description in RNAcentral is "long non-coding RNA (ESAL_LNC001066)". The record is from RNAcentral. Lineage: Eukaryota; Viridiplantae; Streptophyta; Magnoliopsida; Brassicales; Brassicaceae.